Non-coding RNA from Podarcis lilfordi (Lilford's wall lizard), 67 nucleotides. The record is from the annotation of a GenBank genome assembly. NCBI's taxonomy places the organism in Eukaryota, Metazoa, Chordata, Lepidosauria, Squamata, Lacertidae.
GGAGAUGGGAUAUAGCUCAGUGGUAGAGCAUCUUCUUGAGUCCCAGGUUCAAUCCCCAGCAUCUCCA